RNAcentral lists this ribosomal RNA (421 nucleotides) under uncultured bacterium. Its description in RNAcentral is "partial 16S ribosomal RNA". It matches the Rfam family "Bacterial small subunit ribosomal RNA", at positions 360 to 773 of the family's 1533-position model. The record is from RNAcentral.
AAUAUUGGACAAUGGGGGCAACCCUGAUCCAGCCAUGCCGCGUGUGUGAAGAAGGUCUUCGGAUUGUAAAGCACUUUAGGUUGGGAGGAGGGGCUUUGGUUUCAUACCCUGAAGUUUUGCCGUUACCGACAGAAUAAGCACCGCCCAACUACGUCCCCGCAGCCGCGGUAAUACGCAGGGUGCAAGCGUUAAUCGGAAUUACUGGGCGUAAAGCGUGUGUAGGCGGUUCGGAAAGAUGAGUGUGAAAUCCCCGGGCUUAACCUGGGAACUGCUUUAAUAACUGCUGAGCUAGAGUACGGUAGAGGGUAGUGGAAUUUCCUGUGUAGCGGUGAAAUGCGUAGAUAUAGGAAGGAACACCAGUGGCGAAGGCGACUACCUGGACUGAUACUGACACUGAGGUGCGAAAGCGUGGGGAGCAAAC